GUGUGAAUCCAAUUUAUGCAAAUCAUUGCUGGAACUAUAGAGUUGAAGAGAGGUGACUUCAUAUUGUUAAGCACUGGUGGAGAGUCCAUCCAAGCUAAAGCUGAAGAAACCUAUUUGUCAUUGUUGCCAUUUUGGCAAGGUUAUGAAACUAAUAGCCUAUUAUUAUAUGCCUAAAUUUAUCAAAAACAUAUUUCAAUUCUUUUUUUAUUAUAACAUGGUUUUGAAAUUAAUGUAAAGGACAAAGAUUGCUCUCCUUCUAGUAAAUUUUAUGGCAAAUUUUGUGGCUAUGGAUUUUAUAAUAAUAGUUUUAUAUUUCUAUCACUCAAUGAUAUUAUUUUUUAUAUUAAUAAAAAUAAAAAAAUAUAAAUAUCAUAUAUUUUUUGCAUUGCCAACUUGAUCAUUUUAAUGAGUCAAAGAUAAACAAGUAAUACAAAAUUUUUUUUUUGAUUUGUAUGAUUUUGAAUCAUAUAAAAUUUAUAAAUUUUGUCUGAUGGAUAAAAUGAUCAAGAUCUCAUUUACUGGACAUGGGAGAAGACGAACAAGCUAUUAGGCCUUAUACAUAUGGAUGUUUGAAGGUUAAUAAUAACUCAAGUCAGAGAUGGACACCUCAUAUGAGAUAUGGUAUAGUUCAUAAUAUGCUUCAAAGACCUUCCAAACUCAUCUUAUACUAUAAUAAAAAAAAAUAUUUACAAUGCAAAAAAAGUAUCGCAAAUACUAAAUUUUUAUCACAAAUAAUUAUUUACGAUGAAAAUUUCAUCACUAAUAAUUAGUCGCUAAAAAUGG
This 783-nucleotide long non-coding RNA is filed under the name Elaeis guineensis (African oil palm). RNAcentral describes it as "long non-coding RNA (EGUI_LNC024616)". The record is from RNAcentral. Lineage: Eukaryota; Viridiplantae; Streptophyta; Magnoliopsida; Arecales; Arecaceae.